AUGAACGCUGGCGGCGUGCCUAAUACAUGCCAGUAGAACGCUGAAGGAAGGAGCUUGCUCUUUCCGGAUGAGUUGCGAACGGGUGAGUAACGCGUAGGUAACCUGCCUGGUAGCGGGGGAUAACUAUUGGAAACGAUAGCUAAUACCGCAUAACAGUAGAUGUUGCAUGAUAUCUACUUAAAAGGUGCAAUUGCACCACUACCAGAUGGACCUGCGUUGUAUUAGCUAGUUGGUGAGGUAACGGCUCACCAAGGCGACGAUACAUAGCCGACCUGAGAGGGUGAUCGGCCACACUGGGACUGAGACACGGCCCAGACUCCUACGGGAGGCAGCAGUAGGGAAUCUUCGGCAAUGGACGGAAGUCUGACCGAGCAACGCCGCGUGAGUGAAGAAGGUUUUCGGAUCGUAAAGCUCUGUUGUAAGAGAAGAACGAGUGUGAGAGUGGAAAGUUCACACUGUGACGGUAUCUUACCAGAAAGGGACGGCUAACUACGUG
Molecule: ribosomal RNA, 496 nt
Filed under: uncultured bacterium
Lineage: Bacteria
Description: partial 16S ribosomal RNA
Rfam family: Bacterial small subunit ribosomal RNA
Source: RNAcentral